UGCCCGAAUCCUGACACAGGGAGGUAGUGACAAGAAAUAACAAUACAGGGCUCUNUGAGUCUUGUAAUUGGAAUGAGUACAAUUUACAUCUCUUCACGAGGAUCAAUUGGAGGGCAAGUCUGGUGCCAGCAGCCGCGGUAAUUCCAGCUCCAAUAGCGUAUAUUAAAGUUGUUGCAGUUAAAACGCUCGUAGUCGGAUUUCGGGGCGGGGCCGCCGGUCUGCCGAUNGGUAUGCACUGGNGGGCGCGUCCUUUUUCCCGGAGACGGNNGCUACUCUUAACUGAGCGGNGGNCGGANACGGGAUGUUUACUUU
Molecule: ribosomal RNA, 312 nt
Filed under: Haptophyta environmental samples
Lineage: Eukaryota; Haptophyta
Description: partial 18S ribosomal RNA
Rfam family: Eukaryotic small subunit ribosomal RNA
Source: RNAcentral